CGACCGCAUCAUGAACACCUUC
This 22-nucleotide unclassified non-coding RNA is filed under the name Mus musculus (house mouse). RNAcentral's name for it is "oocyte_clustered_small_RNA12461". The record is from RNAcentral. Lineage: Eukaryota; Metazoa; Chordata; Mammalia; Rodentia; Muridae.